GAACGCUGGCGCGUGCCUAACACAUGCAAGUCGAGCGAUGAAGCUUCUUCGGAAGUGGAUUAGCGGCGGACGGGUGAGUAACACGUGGGUAACCUGCCUCAUAGUGGGGAAUAGCCUUUCGAAAGGAAGAUUAAUACCGCAUAAGAUUGUAGCUUCGCAUGAAGUAGCAAUUAAAGAUUUAUCGGUGAUGGAUGGGGAUGCGUCUGAUUAGCUUGUUGGCGGGGUAACGGCCCACCAAGGCAACGAUCAGUAGGGGUUCUGAGAGGAAGGUCCCCCACAUUGGAACUGAGACACGGCCCAGACUCCUACGGGAGGCAGCAGUGGGGAAUCUUCCGCAAUGGGCGAAAGCCUGACGGAGCAACGCCGCGUGAGUGAAGAAGGUCUUCGGAUCGUAAAGCUCUGUUGUCGGGGGACGAAUGUUGAGACCUAGAACAUAGGUUUCAAAUGACGGUACCUGACGAGGAAGCCACGGCUAACUACGUG
Molecule: ribosomal RNA, 483 nt
Filed under: uncultured bacterium
Lineage: Bacteria
Description: bacterial SSU rRNA
Rfam family: Bacterial small subunit ribosomal RNA
Source: RNAcentral